Molecule: ribosomal RNA, 253 nt
Filed under: uncultured bacterium
Lineage: Bacteria
Description: partial 16S ribosomal RNA
Rfam family: Bacterial small subunit ribosomal RNA
Source: RNAcentral
UACGGGGGGAGCAAGCGUUGUUCGGAUUUACUGGCGUAAAGGGCGCGUAGGCGGCCAGCACAAGUCAGUUGUGAAAUCUCCGAGCUUAACUCGGAAAGGUCAACUGAUACUGUGCGGCUAGAGUGCGGAAGGGGCAACUGGAAUUCUUGGUGUAGCGGUGAAAUGCGUAGAUAUCAAGAGGAACACCUGCGGCGAAGGCGGGUUGCUGGGCCGACACUGACGCUGAGGCGCGAAAGCCAGGGGAGCGAACGGG